GUGGGUAUAACUCAGUGGUAGAGUGCAUGCUUAGUAGGCACAAGGUCCUGGGUUCAAUCCCUGGUAUCUCCA
RNAcentral lists this transfer RNA (72 nucleotides) under Camelus bactrianus (Bactrian camel). It matches the Rfam family "tRNA". From Rfam's summary of the family: Transfer RNA (tRNA) molecules are approximately 80 nucleotides in length. Their secondary structure includes four short double-helical elements and three loops (D, anti-codon, and T loops). Lineage: Eukaryota; Metazoa; Chordata; Mammalia; Artiodactyla; Camelidae. The record is from Rfam by way of RNAcentral. RNAcentral also lists the same sequence under 2 other names.